RNAcentral lists this ribosomal RNA (498 nucleotides) under uncultured bacterium. Its description in RNAcentral is "partial 16S ribosomal RNA". It matches the Rfam family "Bacterial small subunit ribosomal RNA", at positions 30 to 523 of the family's 1533-position model. The record is from RNAcentral.
AUUGAACGCUGGCGGCAUGCCUUACACAUGCAAGUCGAACGGUAACAGGUCUUCGGAUGCUGACGAGUGGCGAACGGGUGAGUAAUACAUCGGAACGUGCCCAGUCGUGGGGGAUAACGAAGCGAAAGCUUUGCUAAUACCGCAUACGAUCUACGGAUGAAAGCGGGGGAUCGCAAGACCUCGCGCGAUUGGAGCGGCCGAUGGCAGAUUAGGUAGUUGGUGGGGUAAAGGCUUACCAAGCCUACGAUCUGUAGCUGGUCUGAGAGGACGACCAGCCACACUGGGACUGAGACACGGCCCAGACUCCUACGGGAGGCAGCAGUGGGGGAUUUUGGACAAUGGGCGCAAGCCUGAUCCAGCAAUGCCGCGUGCAGGAUGAAGGCCUUCGGGUUGUAAACUGCUUUUGUACGGAACGAAAAGCUCUGGGUUAAUACCCUGGGGUCAUGACGGUACCGUAAGAAUAAGCACCGGCUAACUACGUGCCAGCAGCCGCGGUAA